RNAcentral lists this ribosomal RNA (415 nucleotides) under uncultured Buttiauxella sp. Its description in RNAcentral is "bacterial SSU rRNA". It matches the Rfam family "Bacterial small subunit ribosomal RNA", at positions 107 to 518 of the family's 1533-position model. Lineage: Bacteria; Pseudomonadati; Pseudomonadota; Gammaproteobacteria; Enterobacterales; Enterobacteriaceae. The record is from RNAcentral.
UGAGUAAUGUCUGGGAAACUGCCUGAUGGAGGGGGAUAACUACUGGAAACGGUAGCUAAUACCGCACAACGUCGCACGACCAAAGAGGGGGACCUUCCGGCCUCUCGCCAUCAGAUGUGCCCAGAUGGGAUUAGCUAGUAGGUGGGGUAAUGGCUCACCUACGCGACGAUCCCUAGCUGGUCUGAGAGGAUGACCAGCCACACUGGAACUGAGACACGGUCCAGACUCCUACGGGAGGCAGCAGUGGGGAAUAUUGCACAAUGGGCGCAAGCCUGAUGCAGCCAUGCCGCGUGUAUGAAGAAGGCCUUCGGGUUGUAAAGUACUUUCAGCGAGGAGGAAGGCAUUGUGGUUAAUAACCACAGUGAUUGACGUUACUCGCAGAAGAAGCACCGGCUAACUCCGUGCCAGCAGCCGC